CAGUCGCCACGGUAAAACAGAGGGUGCGAGCGUUAAUCGGAUUUACUGGGCGUAAAGCGUGCGUAGGCGGCUAAUUGAGUCGGAUGUGAAAUCCCCGAGCUUAACUUGGGAAUUGCAUUCGAUACUGGUUAGCUAGAGUGUGGGAGAGGAUGGUAGAAUUCCAGGUGUAGCGGUGAAAUGCGUAGAGAUCUGGAGGAAUACCGAUGGCGAAGGCAGCCAUCUGGCCUAACACUGACGCUGAGGUACGAAAGCAUGGGGAGCAAACAGGAUUAGAUACCCCUGUAGUCCCUGUCUCUUUACC
RNAcentral lists this ribosomal RNA (301 nucleotides) under uncultured bacterium. Its description in RNAcentral is "partial 16S ribosomal RNA". It matches the Rfam family "Bacterial small subunit ribosomal RNA", at positions 509 to 808 of the family's 1533-position model. The record is from RNAcentral.